UGUUCUCAGGAUGCUGUGUGGCACACUCCUGUGACAUGCACCAGCACAUGGGAGACAGAGGCAGGAGGAU
This is a microRNA precursor of Cricetulus griseus (Chinese hamster), 70 nucleotides long. Lineage: Eukaryota; Metazoa; Chordata; Mammalia; Rodentia; Cricetidae. The record is from Ensembl.